GGAUUAGAUACCCUGGUAGUCCACGCAGUAAACGAUGAAUACUAACUGUUGGCGAUAUAGUGUCAGUGGUAAAGCGAAAGCGUUAAGUAUUCCACCUGGGGAGUACGCCGGCAACGGUGAAACUCAAAGGAAUUGACGGGGGCCCGCACAAGCGGAGGAACAUGUGGUUUAAUUCGAUGAUACGCGAGGAACCUUACCCGGGCUUGAACGUAGAGAGACCGACUGGGAAACCAGUCUUCUAGCAAUAGCUGUCUACGAGGUGCUGCAUGGUUGUCGUCAGCUCGUGCCG
RNAcentral lists this ribosomal RNA (289 nucleotides) under uncultured bacterium. RNAcentral's name for it is "partial 16S ribosomal RNA". It matches the Rfam family "Bacterial small subunit ribosomal RNA", at positions 775 to 1067 of the family's 1533-position model. The record is from RNAcentral.